UACGUAGGGUGCGAGCGUUAAUCGGAAUUACUGGGCGUAAAGCGUGCGCAGGCGGUUUUGUAAGCCAGAUGUGAAAUCCCCCGGGGCUUAACCUGGGAAUGGCAUUUGGGGACUGCAAGGCUUGAGUGCGGCAGAGGAGACUGGAAUUCCUGGUGUAGCAGUGAAAUGCGUAGAUAUCAGGAGGAACACCGAUGGCGAAGGCAGGUCUCUGGGCUGACACUGACGCUCAUGCACGAAAGCGUGGGGA
This 247-nucleotide ribosomal RNA is filed under the name uncultured bacterium. RNAcentral describes it as "partial 16S ribosomal RNA". It matches the Rfam family "Bacterial small subunit ribosomal RNA", at positions 524 to 767 of the family's 1533-position model. The record is from RNAcentral.